CCUUGACAUACUAAGAACUUUCCAGAGAUGGAUUGGUGCCUUCGGGAACUUAGAUACAGGUGCUGCAUGGCUGUCGUCAGCUCGUGUCGUGAGAUGUUGGGUUAAGUCCCGCAACGAGCGCAACCCUUUUCCUUAUUUGCCAGCGGGUCAUGCCGGGAACUUUAAGGAUACUGCCAGUGACAAACUGGAGGAAGGCGGGGACGACGUCAAGUCAUCAUGGCCCUUACGGCCAGGGCUACACACGUGCUACAAUGGUCGGUACAAAGGGUUGCUACCUCGCGAGAGGAUGCUAAUCUCAAAAAGCCGAUCGUAGUCCGGAUCGCAGUCUGCAACUCGACUGCGUGAAGUCGGAAUCGCUAGUAAUCGCGGAUCAGAAUGCCGCGGUGAAUACGUUCCCGGGCCUUGUACACACCGCCCGUCACACCAUGAGAGUUUGUUGCACCAGAAGUAGGUAGUCUAACCGCAAGGAGGACGCUUACCACGGUGUGGCCGAUGACUGGGGUGAAGUCGUAACAAGGUAAGCGUAGAUGA
This 531-nucleotide ribosomal RNA is filed under the name uncultured bacterium. RNAcentral describes it as "bacterial SSU rRNA". It matches the Rfam family "Bacterial small subunit ribosomal RNA", at positions 979 to 1509 of the family's 1533-position model. The record is from RNAcentral.